Echinops telfairi (small Madagascar hedgehog) is the source of this 115-nucleotide small nucleolar RNA. Lineage: Eukaryota; Metazoa; Chordata; Mammalia; Afrosoricida; Tenrecidae. The record is from Ensembl.
ACCCCUCCGAUCCCUUACCCACCAGCUCUAAACAUUGGUCUGAUGGCAAUAAAGAGAAGUAAAACUGGCAUGGACUUGGAUUCUUCUGUGACAUAAAAAUUGGUUUCAAACAAAG